This is a long non-coding RNA of Arachis stenosperma, 2677 nucleotides long. RefSeq lists it as uncharacterized. The record is from RefSeq and is a predicted model, not a curated record. The transcript is spliced from 3 exons. Lineage: Eukaryota; Viridiplantae; Streptophyta; Magnoliopsida; Fabales; Fabaceae.
AUCAACCUUAAUAACCCUCAGUCACUCACUUUCAUUCUCUCUCUCUCACCUAACUCAACCCAAUCCUCACCUCUCUCAUUCUGCUUCACUCACCUAACUCAGCCUUUCAUUUUGACAUCUCUCAUUCUCUAUGACUAACUGAAUCACUUCCCCCAUCCUCCUUCAAUUGCCACUCUCACCUGCUCAACCUUACUCACUGAAUCAUAGAAGCAAGCUCAUCUUCCUUCACACUAGCAUCGUUAUCUCGUCAUGAUCACUGGCUUGUCUGCUACUCUGUGCUGCCAACAGCUUCUCGCCGAAGAAAUUCCAGAGUUCAUCUUAUUAUUAAAUUUUAGGCUUUCAUCUAGGUGAAGUUCAGAUCAGUUUGGCAGAGUUUGUGUGCCAGAAAAGAGAAGAAUUGGAAGCUGCCAAGCUGGCGCUAAACGCGGACCUGGGUGUUUAGUGCCAGCAGCUCAGAAGCGCGAGAGAGCUCUCUCUCCACAAGGGAGCUAAACGCUAAACCUGAUGUUUAGCGCCAGCAAGCCAGAAUGAAUAGAAACGUUUCUGCCACCUAGGGUGCUAAACACCGAAUCUGGCAUUUAGCACCAACAAUGCGGAUCACACUUCAUCAAAAGAGUAUCUUUAGUUAGAUUUAACUUUUAAUUAUUCUAUUUUAUUUUAUUUUAUUUUAGUUAUUUUUAAUUAUAAAUAAAAUCUUUUAGGUUUAGAAUUUAUUAUUUUAUUUUAGUUUCAAAUCAAAUUAGGUUAGAUAUAAAAGGGAAAAGAUUCAGGCCUUUGGGGGAUCUUUUCUCUUCCGCACUUUCACAUUUUUUGAACCCUAAUUUUCUCUCGAAGUCAUGAGCCGUUAAACCUCUUUGGUUAAGAUUAGAAGCUCUAUUUAUUUCUAUGUAUUAAGACUAUUAUUUUUCUAUUUUAAUUAAUGUAUUGAUUCAGUUUUAAGGAUUAUUAUCGUUCUUCAUCUUAUGAAUCUAGAUAUAUCAGAAGAAUAACCUUUAUUCUAUAUGCAUUCUUGUGAUUUUCGGAAGAGUUAUCUCAGUUGAAUACCAGCUUGAGAGUAAAUUCCUCCUAAAUUGCUAAUUACUUGAACUUAAUAGGAUAUGUGACAUAUAAUCCUUUUAUAUUUGGGUAAUUAGGGUUCUGUAGCCAAUAAACUAGAAUUGAACAUAACCCUCUAAUCUAUAUUAAGUGACAUAUUAAGUGACUAAGACACUGGCGGUUGAUUAGGUUAGAAGAGACUAAAUCACUAGGAAUUAGGGUUUCGCCAAUUACAGUUUGCCAUGAAAUGAAUUUGCAUGAUUAAAAUAGUUGGUAAGAAAACUUAAUCCGGACAAAUAAAUAACUCCAAAAUUUUAAUUGUUUUCUCCCAUAUAUUUAACAGCAAUUUAUUGUUUGCUUUCUGAUUCUCUGAUUUUACUGUUUAAUGCAAUUGAACUCUGUAAACAUAAUUUUCUAUUUGCCUGACUGAGUAAUUCAUUCGACUAUCGUUGCUCAGUCCAUCAAUCCUCGUAGGAUCGAUCCUCAUUCACUUGAUGUAUUACUUGGUACGACCCGGUGCACUUACUAGUUCAGUUGUGGUAUUCUAAUUGCGCACCAGCAAGUUCUUCUGAGUUAAUGAAGUCAUUAAAGUCUUGAAUUGACUUCGCUGAGUUAUCUUUGCCUCCUUCCUUCUCAUGGUGAAAUCUCAUCCAUCAACAUUGAUCCUCCAAGCAACAAUGCUGGAAAUUCUUUUCAACAACCAUUUAUCAUCAAUCAACGAUCUUUCACACUUAUUUCUGAUAAAUCGGGUGAAAACAAUCACAAAAUUUGGCUGCAGCAAGAUCUAGCUGCUAUUAGAGGCCAAGAUCUAGAAGAACACCUGUAUGCAGAUCGAGUUCCAUCCCAAAAAUCAACAACAACACAAGGUUCCUCCACAAACACAACAACUUACAAGUAAUGGUGUCAAGAUUAUCAAAAUUUAAAAUUCACCUGAUUUUAAAGGAUAUAGAUGCCUCUCUUCUAGUGAAAAAAAUGUACAUUUCAAGAAGUGUUCAUUUUGAUGAAACUCAAUUUUCAUAUUCUGAAUUAUUCACUCUAUUGAUAGAAUUAUAACUAAUGACACUGAUAAUCAUGAUUUUGCAUCCUCUUUCACCAAACACUCUUUACUGCAUACAGAUCAUCAUCGUAUUACUACUGAUACUACUUCUAAAUCAAACACUAGUCACAUUAAUUCUCAAAUUGAUUGUCUUGAUAUUACUGAGAAUGACAUUAAUAAUGAAUUACAUAAUUCUAAUUUACCCCCUAAAUUCCUCCCAAAUUCCAAUUUCAAGCAUAGAAAUACAACACUCUGCCUUGGAUACUGAUGCCAUUGAACUAAAUUUACCUCAUAUUCAACGUUGUGCACUUAAUGCUAAUAGACACUAUGGUUACUAGGUCUAAGGCUAACAACAACAAUCCCAAAGUCUUAAAUUCUAUCAUUACUUCCCCUGAUUACACACAACAACCACCAAAAUCUACUAAAAUAGCACUUACUAUACCUCAUUGGCAUAAAGUCAUGAUGAUGGAAGAAUAUCAAAUCCCUGUGAAAGCUAAGACAUGGAUUGUAGUUCCACCACCACAUCAUGCUAAACCCACAGGCAGUAAAUGAAUUUUUACCAUUAAGAAGCAUCUAGAUGAAACUAUACAAAAGUACAAAGCUAGA